GCACGCAUCUCUUUAGACAUUAGGCACAAAAAAGAGAAUCUGCGAGUUAAGAUCCGAUUAUGGAGACAAGUUCUUCUCUUGUGUUUUUCACCCUAGAGUUCCCGAUUACUUGAUCGUCGGUAGCUACAAGUCGUUGAAGCUAUGGAAGUGGGUUGAAAACACAGGCAACUAUCUACCGACUCAUGAAGACCGCAUCUCAGCUCUCGCGGACUCGCCUUCAAGGGGAAUAAUUGCGUCUGGUAGCUUCGACAACACCAUUAAGAUUUGGAAGUAAAUAAACACUAUUAUAUGAUCGUGAUUCGCUAGGCAUAUUGAUUUUUAUAUACAUACAUGCAAAAAACAGUGUACAGUAGAGUAAAAACAUACUACAGUGUACAGUAGAGUGAAAACAUACUACAGUGUACAGUAGAGUAAAAACUGUACUGAAAUUUAAAAUAACUGAACUACCUGAAUUAACUGAA
Capsella rubella is the source of this 461-nucleotide long non-coding RNA. RefSeq lists it as uncharacterized. The transcript has 2 exons. The record is from RefSeq and is a predicted model, not a curated record. Lineage: Eukaryota; Viridiplantae; Streptophyta; Magnoliopsida; Brassicales; Brassicaceae.